GGGUAACAUUGUGCUUGCACAGAUGACGACCGGCGCACGGGUGCGUAACGCGUAUAGAACCUACCUUUUACAGAGGAAUAGCCUUUAGAAAUGAAGAUUAAUGCCUCAUGGUAUUGUAGACUGGCAUCAGUUUAUAAUUAAAGAUUUAUCGGUAAAAGAUGGCUAUGCGUCCUAUUAGUUAGUUGGUAAGGUAACGGCUUACCAAGACAGCGAUAGGUAAGGGGUCCUGAGAGGGAGAUCCCCCACACUGGUACUGAGACACGGACCAGACUCCUACGGGAGGCAGCAGUGAGGAAUAUUGGACAAUGGAGGAGACUCUGAUCCAGCCAUGCCGCGUGUAGGAAGAAUGCCCUAUGGGUUGUAAACUACUUUUAUACAGGAAGAAACACUGGUAUGUAUACCAGCUUGACGGUACUGUAAGAAUAAGGACCAGCUAACUCCGUGCCAGCAGCCGCGGUAAUACGGAGGGUCCGAGCGUUAUCCGGAAUCAUUGGGUUUAAAGGGUCCGCAGGCGGUCGAUUAAGUCAGAGGUGAAAUCCCAUAGCUCAACUAUGGAACUGCCUUUGAUACUGGUUGACUUGAGUCAUAUGGAAGUAGAUAGAAUGUGUAGUGUAGCGGUGAAAUGCAUAGAUAUUACACAGAAUACCGAUUGCGAAGGCAGUCUACUACGUAUGUACUGACGCUGAGGGACGAAAGCGUGGGGAGCGAACAGGAUUAGAUACCCUGGUAGUCCACGCCGUAAACGAUGGAUACUAGUUGUUGGGAUUUAUCUCAGUGACUAAGCGAAAGUGAUAAGUUACCCACUGGGG
This 809-nucleotide ribosomal RNA is filed under the name uncultured Polaribacter sp. Its description in RNAcentral is "bacterial SSU rRNA". It matches the Rfam family "Bacterial small subunit ribosomal RNA", at positions 67 to 877 of the family's 1533-position model. Lineage: Bacteria; Pseudomonadati; Bacteroidota; Flavobacteriia; Flavobacteriales; Flavobacteriaceae. The record is from RNAcentral.